This 428-nucleotide ribosomal RNA is filed under the name uncultured bacterium. RNAcentral describes it as "partial 16S ribosomal RNA". It matches the Rfam family "Bacterial small subunit ribosomal RNA", at positions 354 to 796 of the family's 1533-position model. The record is from RNAcentral.
GUGGGGAAUAUUGGGCAAUGGGCGCAAGCCUGACCCAGCAACGCCGCGUGAAGGAAGAAGGCUUUCGGAUUGUAAACUUCUUUUACCAGGGACGAAACAAAUGACGGUACCUGGUGAAUAAGCCACGGCUAACUACGUGCCAGCAGCCGCGGUAAUACGUAGGUGGCGAGCGUUAUCCGGAUUUAUUGGGUGUAAAGGGCGUGUAGGCGGGACAGCAAGUCAGAUGUGAAAACCAGAGGCUCAACCUCUGGCCUGCAUUUGAAACUGUUGUUCUUGAGUGUCGGAGAGGUAAUCGGAAUUCCGUGUGUAGCGGUGAAAUGCGUAGAUAUACGGAGGAACACCAGUGGCGAAGGCGGAUUACUGGACGAUAACUGACGCUGAGGCGCGAAAGCGUGGGGAGCAAACAGGAUUAGAUACCCGAGUAGUCC